UACUCCCUCCUUCUCUCAUCUGCAGCUAGCCUCUGUCUCUGCUCAGCUAAUAAGACAACAAAAUAUCCUCUCCUCACCAUUUGAAUACACAGUCUUGAAUUCCCACAGUUUUCACAGCCCUCUUUCCUCGCCGUUUGAAGAAGCUGGAGGCAUCUGCCUCUGGCAUGAAGAUCUUCCUUAGUGC
Molecule: long non-coding RNA, 184 nt
Organism: Sinocyclocheilus anshuiensis
Lineage: Eukaryota; Metazoa; Chordata; Actinopteri; Cypriniformes; Cyprinidae
Exons: 3
Source: RefSeq, a predicted model, not a curated record